RNAcentral lists this ribosomal RNA (468 nucleotides) under uncultured bacterium. Its description in RNAcentral is "partial 16S ribosomal RNA". It matches the Rfam family "Bacterial small subunit ribosomal RNA", at positions 28 to 507 of the family's 1533-position model. The record is from RNAcentral.
GACGAACGCUGGCGGCGUGCUUAACACAUGCAAGUCGAACGGAAAGGCCCUGCUUUUGUGGGGUGCUCGAGUGGCGAACGGGUGAGUAACACGUGAGUAACCUGCCCUUGACUUUGGGAUAACUUCAGGAAACUGGGGCUAAUACCGGAUAGGAGCUCCUGCUGCAUGGUGGGGGUUGGAAAGUUUCGGCGGUUGGGGAUGGACUCGCGGCUUAUCAGCUUGUUGGUGGGGUAGUGGCUUACCAAGGCUUUGACGGGUAGCCGGCCUGAGAGGGUGACCGGCCACAUUGGGACUGGGAUACGGCCCAGACUCCUACGGGAGGCAGCAGUGGGGAAUAUUGCCCAGUGGGCGGAAGCCUGAUGCAGCAACGCCGCGUGCGGGAUGACGGCCUUCGGGUUGUAAACCGCUUUCGCCUGUGACGAAGCGUGAGUGACGGUAAUGGGUAAAGAAGCACCGGCUAACUACGUG